This 253-nucleotide ribosomal RNA is filed under the name uncultured bacterium. RNAcentral's name for it is "partial 16S ribosomal RNA". It matches the Rfam family "Bacterial small subunit ribosomal RNA", at positions 524 to 776 of the family's 1533-position model. The record is from RNAcentral.
UACGGAGGGUGCAAGCGUUGUCCGGAUUUAUUGGGUUUAAAGGGUGCGUAGGCGGCCCGUUAAGUCAGUGGUGAAAGCCUCCAGCUCAACCGGAGAACUGCCAUUGAUACUGACGGGCUUGAGUACAGACGAGGUUGGCGGAAUUGAUUGUGUAGCGGUGAAAUGCAUAGAUACAAUCAAGAACUCCGAUUGCGUAGGCAGCUAACUAGGCUGUAACUGACGCUGAGGCACGAAAGCGUGGGGAGCGAACAGG